Long non-coding RNA from Zonotrichia leucophrys gambelii, 984 nucleotides. RefSeq lists it as uncharacterized. The transcript is spliced from 3 exons. The record is from RefSeq and is a predicted model, not a curated record. NCBI's taxonomy places the organism in Eukaryota, Metazoa, Chordata, Aves, Passeriformes, Passerellidae.
GUUCUAUUCCCCUGCAGAAGUUGGGAAAUUCCCACCCUGGCCCUGGAGGAUGGAGCUUUGGUUGCAAAGGAAAAUGAAGGAGAGGGAAGCUUCAGGUGAUAUUCUACAGGCCACAGAGGGUUCCCCAAUGCUUCUCAGACAAGAGCAUCUCCUGAUGCAUGUCCCACCUGCAAGAUGCCUGCUGGUGAGAUCCAUCGCCUGGCAGAGCUGUGCUAGGAGCCUGAGUGGAGCAGCAGUUCUGGAUCAGGGGGUUCCCGGGGCUGCUGCUGCUCCCGCUGCCCAAAGCUGGGAGAGGUCCCGGAGCAUCCCGAGGGCAAGCCCGGCCCUGCUCCUCCUGCCCCGCGGGCACGGCCGUGCUGAGCCCGAGGGGCUGGCACGGCCACGGCAGCGCUGUGCUGGUGGCACGGCCAUGGCAGAGCCGUGCUGGUGGCCCAGCGUGACAGAGGCAGCCCCCAUCCCUGUCCCAGCCUGCUAGGGGGCAGCCCACCCCAUCGCUGUCCCAGCCACCUCCAGCCCUGCUCUCCUCACACACACAGGACGGUCCCGGCCUGCCCACCGCAGCGGAAAGGCUGAAAACCUGAACCAGAUGCACGGCCUCACCUGAGCCUGCAGACAGGCUGGAAGCAGUAACUCCGGGAGGUAUAAACUGCUCCUUUCAUCCUAAUAGGAUGUUAAUGGGGGGAAAGCCCUGCUGCUCCAGGCAGUGGUCUGUUAAUGCUGCUGCGGCAGCUGGGAAAAUUGGAUCAUCUGGAUCGGUUUCAGCAAUGGCCACACCUGUGCAUCCCCCAUGCCCAUUGCUCAUUCAAAUAUCCCCACGAUGUGGUCCCCAUCCCAGAGGCACAGGGUGCCUGCUUGUGUGCCCCCACCCAGCUCAGGUGGGUCCCCAGGUGUUUGCUGAGGGCUGGGGGCAGCAGCAACAGGGCUCCUCCUGAGGGGGCUCAGCUGAACAUCUGUUUGCCAUUGCUUUGGGUUGUUUAUAGCGUU